UUCAGCAGGAUGGGGUGUGUUAAAGUUGUCAAGAAUAAGGCCUACUUUAUGAGAUACCAAGUGAAAUUUAGAAGACAAGAGAUAGAACUUGAGGGUAAAACUGAUUGUUACACUGGGAAACGCUUGGUGAUACAGGAUAAAAAUAAGCACAACACACCCAAAUACAGAAUGAUAGCUCGUGUAACUCACGUGUCAUUUAUCAGAUUGCCUAUGCCUGUGUCGCAGAGGAUGUGACAGUCUGCACAGCUUAUGCGCACGAACCACCAAAAUAUGGUGUGCAGGUUGGCCUGCAAAUUAUGCCGCAGCGUGUUGCGCAGGCAUGCUGCUGGCCCGCAGGUUGCUCAGCAGGUUUGGCGUGGACAAGGUCUGUGGAGGCCGAGUGGAGGUGCCUGGCCAGCCUGGGGCUUUCACGUGCUAUUUGGACGCGGGUCUUGCCAGAACUGCCACUGGCACUAAAGCUCUUGGAGCCCCGAAGGGAGCUGUGGGGUGGAGGCUUGCCUAUCCCUCGCAGUUCCAAAUGAUUCCCCGGUUAUGAUUCCGAAAGCAAGGAAUUUAAUGCUGCAGUACAUCGGAAGCACCAUCGUGGGGCCCAAUGUUGCAGAUUAUAUGCGUUAUCUAAUGGAGGAAGAGGAAGAUGCUUACAAGAAACAGUUCUCUCGAUACAGAAAGAAUGUUACUCCAGACACGACGGAGGAGACGUAUGAGAAAGCUCAGGCUGUUAUACGAGAUAGUCCGGUCUGUGAGAAGAAGCCCAAGAAAGAAGUUAAAAAGAAGAGAUGGAACCGUCCCCACAUAUCCCUUAUCCAGAAGAAAGAUUGGGUAGCUCAAAAGAAGGGAAGCUUCCUCAGAGCUCAGGAGCAGGCUGCUGAAAGCUAAACCAAACAGCAAUUUUCUAUGAGGAUUUUUCUGAUAAAGACAAUAAACUUAUUGACUAAGCAGCUAAAA
Microcebus murinus (gray mouse lemur) is the source of this 945-nucleotide non-coding RNA. The record is from RefSeq and is a predicted model, not a curated record. Lineage: Eukaryota; Metazoa; Chordata; Mammalia; Primates; Cheirogaleidae.